AGUCUCCCCCUCUUCUGUUCCCCAGUCUAUGUGCAGAACCAACAGAGGCACCGUGGGUGGCUACUUCCUGGCAGGACGAAGCAUGAUCUGGUGGCCGGUUGGAGCCUCCCUCUUCGCCAGCAACAUUGGCAGUGGCCACUUUGUAGGCCUUGCAGGGACUGGCGCAGCAAGUGGCUUGGCUGUGGCUGGAUUUGAGUGGAAC
Long non-coding RNA from Fukomys damarensis (Damara mole-rat), 202 nucleotides. RefSeq lists it as uncharacterized. NCBI's taxonomy places the organism in Eukaryota, Metazoa, Chordata, Mammalia, Rodentia, Bathyergidae. The record is from RefSeq and is a predicted model, not a curated record. The transcript has 2 exons.